CCUGAGAAACGGCUACCACAUCCAAGGAAGGCAGCAGGCGCGCAAAUUACCCACUCCCGGCACGGGGAGGUAGUGACGAAAAAUAACGAUACGGGACUCUUUCGAGACCCCGUAAUCGGAAUGAGUACGCUCUAAAUCCGCUAACGACGAACCAUUGGAGGUAAAGUCUGGUGCCAGCAUCCGCGGUAACUCCAGCUCCAAUAGCGUAUAUUAAAGUUGUUGCGGUUAAAAAGCUCGUAGUUGGAUCUGAGUCUCUGCCCGGCGGUCUGCCCCUUCCCGGGGCAGCCUACUGCCGCGACUGCGGGACGUCUGCCGGCUUCCGCCGAUGAUCUUCACCGGUUGUCGGUGGCAGGCCGGCGAGUUUACUUUGAAAAAAUUAGAGUGCUCAAAGCAGGCGCGACGCCUGAAUAAUGGUGCAUGGAAUAAUGGAAUAGGACCUCGGUUCUAUUUUGUUGGUUUUUAGGAACACGAGGUAAUGAUUAAGAGGAACGGACGGGGGCAUUCGUAUUGCGACGCUAGAG
This 521-nucleotide ribosomal RNA is filed under the name Oedothorax fuscus. Its description in RNAcentral is "SSU rRNA". It matches the Rfam family "Eukaryotic small subunit ribosomal RNA", at positions 395 to 910 of the family's 1831-position model. Lineage: Eukaryota; Metazoa; Arthropoda; Arachnida; Araneae; Linyphiidae. The record is from RNAcentral.